AUCACUGUUUUCCUGAGAUUCUGCACUUA
This 29-nucleotide small RNA is filed under the name Bombyx mori (domestic silkworm). RNAcentral describes it as "ovarian small RNA-12419". Lineage: Eukaryota; Metazoa; Arthropoda; Insecta; Lepidoptera; Bombycidae. The record is from RNAcentral.